AUGUGUACUGAACUUACAGUAAUAGCCGAAGAGGGACAGGUGACUGGAACUGAAACUGAAACUGCAGCAACUGUUGAUUGGAAUGUAGUUGAAUUAGAUGAGCCUACUGAUUUGGUCAUUGCACCAAUGCCUGACAUUGAGAUGGCCAAACUUUUUGGCAUUCCAGUCGAUGACAGAGAUAAGCAGGAGAGGGGCGAAUCUAGUUUGCCUGCUAAUGCUGAUGAAGAAGUAGAUGGACAGUUGAUGGAACAAGCUGCAGAUGAAGUAGAUGACGCACAUGAUGAUGAGCUGGUGCAUGUGUAUGACAAAGAAAACCCUGUCAUUGAAGUAGGCAAGUUGUUCCCAAGCAUGAAGGAGUUUAGGAUGUGUUUCAAGACUUAUGCAGUGAAACAUGAGUUUGAUGCCAAGACUGUUUGGACUGAUAGAAAGAAGUUUUAUGCGAGGUGCAGAGGAUUUGAUGGUAGUGUGAAGCCUUGCAAGUGGUACAUAUCUGCUAGACUGCAACCUGAUGGAAGUACUGUCAGGGUUAACCAAAUCCCCAAUCAACAUACUUGUAUUACAAGUUCACAGAGAGUAUCAACCAUGACAUUACAACUUUGGGUUGUAGAAAAGAUCACCCCAAUUUGA
This 627-nucleotide ribosomal RNA is filed under the name Triticum aestivum (bread wheat). Its description in RNAcentral is "partial small subunit ribosomal RNA". Lineage: Eukaryota; Viridiplantae; Streptophyta; Magnoliopsida; Poales; Poaceae. The record is from RNAcentral.